CACCCAACAGCUAGCCCAAUUAAACAAUUUCAACCAACCCCUGUUAAUAACCCCUAAAUACCCCAGUAUUUAAAUUAAACAAACCAUUUUUCCCCCUUAGUAUAGGCGAUAGAAAAGGGACUACGGCGCAAUAGAGAAAGUACCGCAAGGGAAUGCUGAAAGAGAAAUGAAACAACCCAGUAAAGCCCCAAAAAGCAGAGAUUCAAACUCGUACCUUUUGCAUCAUGAUUUAGCGAGUGUAUCCCAAGCAAAGAGUACUUUAGUUUGAUGUCCCGAAACUAAGUGAGCUACUCCAAGACAGCCUAUUAAUAGGGCACACCCGUCUCUGUGGCAAAAGAGUGGGGCGAGCUUUGAGUAGAGGUGACAAACCUACCGAACCUAGUUAUAGCUGGUUGUCCAAGAAAUGAAUAGAAGUUCAGCCUCUUGGCUUCUCUUUUCACCCUAGUUUAACCCCUAUUGAUGCAUUAAAGAAACCGAGAGAGUUAGUCAAAGGGGGUACAGCCCCUUUGAAUCAAGACACAACUUUAUCAGGCGGGUAAAGAUCAUA
Molecule: ribosomal RNA, 547 nt
Filed under: Icelus spiniger (thorny sculpin)
Lineage: Eukaryota; Metazoa; Chordata; Actinopteri; Perciformes; Cottidae
Description: partial 16S ribosomal RNA
Rfam family: Bacterial large subunit ribosomal RNA
Source: RNAcentral